RNAcentral lists this long non-coding RNA (1436 nucleotides) under Marmota monax (woodchuck). Lineage: Eukaryota; Metazoa; Chordata; Mammalia; Rodentia; Sciuridae. The record is from RNAcentral.
AACUGUAAUCUCAGCAACUGGAAAAGCUGAGGCAGGAGGAUUCCAAGUUCAAGGCCAGGUUCAACAAUUUAGUGAGACCUUAUCUCAAAAUUAAAAAAUAUUACAGCAUCCCCAGCAUCAAUCUCGCACACGCGCGCGUGCGCACACACACACACACACAGGUUCAUAUCCAUAAUGUAAAGAAUAGGAGAUGAUACUACAGCAACAGCAUUUUGAAAAAUACAAGAUGGACAAGUGACAACUUAGUUUUCCAUUUACCUGGUAAGCCAAGAGCAAAAUGAACUUAGAAGCAAAACAAUUUCUAUCAUAGUAUCUGAGAAAGACUGAAACUCAACUUUCACAAGUAAAAUGCAAAUAAUUUGUAUGUAAAGGUGCUUUUCAAAUAGUAAAAAAAUUGCUGUGAGAGUGAGAGUAGUCUAUAGAGGAACCUUAUUACCUUGACAAACCAUCAUCCCAAGGAAUCGAUCAGCUAUUUCCUGAGGGAAACUCCAUUGCUCUGGAAAGCACAGUGUUCCAUCAGGUUUCUUAGAACACAAUUCUUCCAGAUUAGCAAUCAGGACAUUCAUGCAGAUGUUGGCCAAUGUAUAGGGUGAUGCCUCCUCCUAGCAAACAAAUUCCAAACCUUGUUAGAACACAUCUGCAAAUAUUCAGCAUAAAAGUUGUCAUGCCUACAUUCCUACUCUAAUAAUGAUUUAUAUGUAAUAGAACCACCUUGGGCUGGGGUUGUAGCUCAGUGGUAGAGCACUUGCCUUGAAGCAUUGUGUUGGAUCCUCAGCACCACGUUAAAUAAAUAAACAAAAUAAAGAUUAAAAAAAAUAUCACAAUUUCAGUGCAAUAUCUGGGAUUUUUCAAGCAGAGAUCACAUAAGUCAUUCCUUCAAGAUACAUUUUUUUUUUUUGUGUGUGUGUGUGUGUGUGGUGCUGGGGAUUAAACCCAUGGCCUUGUGCAUGCAAGGUAAACACUCUACCAACUGAGCUAAAUCCCCAGCCCCAAGGUACAUUUUUUUAAGUUAUUAUUCUGUGACAGAGGAUAAAAAGGCCUAUUCCCACUUUCAAAGAUGUUCACAACCAGGACUAGAGGAUUUACCUCAGUGGCAGAGCACUUGCAUGAGAUGCAUGAGGUUCUUGGUUCGACUACCAACAGAGCAAAAAAAAUUAAAUGUAUGGUGUGUGCCUAUUGUCCCAAAUACUUGGGUUACUGAGGUUGGUGGAUCACUUAAGCCCCUAAGUAGGAGACCAGUCUGGGCAACAUAGUGAGAUGCCAGUUUGAAAAAAAUAAAAAGCUAGACGCGGUAGCACACACCUGUAAUCCCAGUGGCUCAGGAGGCUGAGGCAGAAGGAUCCUGAGUUCAAAGCCAGCCUCACUAAAGGGGAGGUGCUAAGCAACUCAAUGAGAUCCUAUCUCUAAAUAAAAUACAAAAUAGGGCUGGGGAUGUG